Long non-coding RNA from Equus caballus (horse), 2902 nucleotides. The record is from Ensembl. NCBI's taxonomy places the organism in Eukaryota, Metazoa, Chordata, Mammalia, Perissodactyla, Equidae.
UGAAGACACAGACACAGAAGAAAGAUGGCCAUGUGAAUUUAGAGGUAGAGACUGGAGUUAUGCUGCCACAAGCCAAAGACACCUGGGGCUACCAGAAGCUGGAAGAGGCAAGGAAGGGUCAUUCUCUAGAGACUUUGGAAGAAGUUGACCCUGCCAGCAUCUUGAUUUUGGACUGCUAGCCUCCAGAACUGUGAGAGAAUAAAUUUCUAUUGUUUAAGCCACUAGUCUGUGGCAGCCAUAGUAAACGAAUAAAAUAGGUUUCAAGAAUUAGGAUGUGGGCAUUGUUAGGAGCUAUUAUUCUACCAACCACACCACAGACUCAAGAAGUUCAAGAAACCCCAAGCCCAAGAAACUUGAAGAAAAGUACACCAAGGCACAUCAUAAUUAAGUUGUUGAAAAUCACCGAUAAAAACAAAAGGUCUAGAAGCAGUCAGAGCAAAGAGACACCUUACAUACAGAGGAACAAAGGAGUACAUUCUAGAAGCAGAUUCUAAUCAGAAACAAUGCCAGUGAGAAGUGAUUAGAACAAUAUCUUAAAAGUCCUGAAAGAUAAAAACUAUCAACCUUGAAUUCUAUACCCAGCAAAAAUAUCCUUUGAAAGUGAAUGCAGAUAGACAUUUUCAGACGUACAAAAGCUGAAAACAUUCAUCACCAGCAGACCACAGCUAGAAGAAAUGUUUAAGUCUUUCAGGUGGAAAGAAAAUGAUCCUAGAUGGAAAUCUGGAUCUACAUUAAGGAUGGAAGAACACCAGAAAUGGUAACUACACAGGUAACUUUGGAAACCAAAUGUUGAAGAUGCUGAAGACUCAAGAUGGAAAGAACCUUGGUCUUUGAAUAACCUUUUGGUGGAGAUCUGCCAGCUAAUCAGAAAUGCCCGCAUCGUAUUGUUACAUGAGCAAGAAAUAAGCAUCUGUUAUAUGAAGUCCCUGAGAUCUGGGGGGUUUGAUUUGUUAUUGCAACUAGCACGACCUUACCCAUUGCAGAUUGUCAUUUUUGUUUUCUGUGUUUAUAUUUCCUGCUAUACUGUGGCCCCUGGAGGAAUAGGGACCAUGAUAAACCUGCUCUUUGUAUUUGUUCCAGAGCUUAGUGCAAUACUUGGUGAAUAUUAGGUUCUCCAUAAAUACUUCUUAAAUAUAAGUGAGUGAUUGAAAUUGUUCCUAUGUGUUUGGAGCCUAGAGAUUUUCUUCCCCUGGGGUGGGUAACUCAAUGCCAAGCUGGAGCUCCCCAGAACACUCAGUGUUGGCUGCCUGUCUCAUGUUCUUCCUCCUUUUUCUUUCCUCAUGUUUGCCCUCCCUUCUCAUUGCUCUCUGUGUCCUGCCUUUAUUCAGAACCACACCUGUGGGCCACUAUCAGAGAUGUUUUUAUGGAAGUAACUCUCUUUAAUUCAGAUUCCACUGGAAGGGAAUCCAGAAUAGAAAAGACGUGGGCUGUGCUUAUUUUGCCUUUGCUUUCUUACCAAAACAUAUCAACAAAAAAGUCAACCCACUGAACACCACCACCACUCAGAACCGAGCAUAUACAAAUGGAUCCCAGGGAGGAACAUGGAGAUUACUGGAAAGAAUAAACCUUGAAAGGAUUCUUCCAGUGACAGAAGUUUAAAUAUCUUUACAUAUAAACAAUAGACUAAUUACAAGAUCAUACGUAAUUAAAGUAGAUAUCAGGUCCACUGCUGGGAAAAGCAUAUUUUGCUAUAUCUUAGCAUAUGUUCCUAUAAAAUAAUUCCAUCAAAAAUGUUUUCUUUUCUUUUUUUAAAUGUUUUCCUUCCUCUUCUCCCUAAGGCCCCCUAGUACAUAGCUGUAUAUGCUAGUUGUGAGUGCCUCUGUUUGUGCCAUGUGGGACGCCACCUCAGCAUGGCCUGAUGAGUGGUGCCAUGUCUGCGCCUGGGAUCCAAACCAGCGAAACCCUGGCCCGAUGAAGCGGAGCACGCGAACUUAACCACUGGGCCACGGGGCUGGCCCCCAAAAUGUUUUCUAAUUCAGACUUUCACCAAAUUGGACUAGUCCUCUUAAACAACAAGAGGCAUCAAUGAGGGGCUCCCUGCACUAAGUAACUGUUAGCUGACAGCUGGGUGCCUCUUGUAGAUAUUCUUGUGGUCCUUAGAGGUAAGAAUGGAAAUGUUCCAACACAUACAAUUUUCUGGGUUCUAGGUAACCUUCCUAGUGUUUUUCAAGUAAUAACAAAAGCUUACAGCCAAGUUUCAUUUCAGUUGUGCUUUUUCUUAAUUACUUGCUGACAGGUUUACUACUCUGUUUAAAGCAAAUGGGUGCCAUACUAUUUCUCAGAACAUUUUUGCUCUUUGUCUUGCCUAACUUAUGCUAAAGAGUUUGUUUCUACAGUGCUCAUUCUCAUGCUUCAUAUACAUCCUUAGAAAUGUAUCUAGGCCUCCUUCAUUAUACUCUGCAAAUACAUUCUAGCAAAGUUUAUUAUAAAGCAAACAUUAUUUUCCAUUAAUAUCUGGAGAUUUAUUCAUCUGGAGAAUAUCCUCCCCAUAGAUUGAGUUGAAAAAUUCUGGCAGAUGUUUGUUGAAAGGGCGCCUAACUGCAUGAUGUAAAGUGGGACUGUAGGAAUUGUGUGCUUCCUGGAGUUUGCAGUCUGCACUUAAACCAUGCCCACGCGGAUUACGUCGCCUUUCUCAAUUCUAUUGCCCCUCAACCUCCAUCCUUUCUUAGCCCAUGAUAGGCCCAGGCAUUUAUACAAUAUCUAGAAAUUCCUGAUUGCGUGCUCAGUUCUCUGAAACUCUGUUUCCCUUUUCCUUUGGUUUGGUUAUUCAGUGUCCCUUCAAGCUGGGCUGUGAUGUUGUGCCUCCACAGAACAUGUCACUGUCAGAUAAGUGAAAGAGUCCUGUCUGCACACUUCCUAAAUCAGAGGUUUCAGAUUCCACAAAAUGCAAAUACAAUUUGAC